This is a long non-coding RNA of Thunnus maccoyii (southern bluefin tuna), 441 nucleotides long. RefSeq lists it as uncharacterized. Lineage: Eukaryota; Metazoa; Chordata; Actinopteri; Scombriformes; Scombridae. The transcript has 4 exons. The record is from RefSeq and is a predicted model, not a curated record.
UGCACAAACACAGAACAAAAAUCAAGAUUUAAAGAGAAAAAAAAUACAUUUUGAGAAAUAAACUUAUCCGCUUUCUUUCUGAAAGUAAGAUGAGAAGAUAUCGCUCUCAUGCCUGUGAGCUCCAACAGGUCCGAUUACUGCCAGCAACUGCUCUGAGCUCACUGUGAAAGACACAUUCUGCAAAGUUGGAGCCUCUAGCAUCUGUAAGCAAAAGAAAAAGUAAAUGAACUGAAGCAACACCACAGGUAGCAAAUAUGCAGAAGCCCCAGAUGCUGCGAAGCAACUUCAUCCAGAAGAAGAAAAUUCUAAAAAGAAGAAUCACACUCAAAAAUAUCAGUUUCCAUAGAUGGGAAAGAAGAGCGUGAUGGUGAGUCUGACUGCCCCGUAGAGAGACAUAGCCAUAAAUACUCUGCUAGCAGUCAACUUGUUCCCCAUCAGCAC